CAGCGACUUAUAUUCUGUAGCAAGGUUAACCGUAUAGGGGAGCCGCAGGGAAACCGAGUCUUAACUGGGCGUUAAGUUGCAGGGUAUAGACCCGAAACCCGGUGAUCUAGCCAUGGGCAGGUUGAAGGUUGGGUAACACUAACUGGAGGACCGAACCGACUAAUGUUGAAAAAUUAGCGGAUGACUUGUGGCUGGGGGUGAAAGGCCAAUCAAACCGGGAGAUAGCUGGUUCUCCCCGAAAGCUAUUUAGGUAGCGCCUCGUGAAUUCAUCUUCGGGGUAGAGCACUGUUUCGGCUAGGGGGUCAUCCCGACUUACCAACCGAUGCAAACUACGAAUACCGAAGAAUGUUAUCACGGGAGACACACGGCGGGUGCUAACGUCCGUCGUGAAGAGGGAAACAACCCAGACCGCCAGCUAAGGUCCCA
This 426-nucleotide ribosomal RNA is filed under the name Klebsiella pneumoniae. RNAcentral describes it as "bacterial LSU rRNA". It matches the Rfam family "Bacterial large subunit ribosomal RNA", at positions 621 to 1049 of the family's 2925-position model. Lineage: Bacteria; Pseudomonadati; Pseudomonadota; Gammaproteobacteria; Enterobacterales; Enterobacteriaceae. The record is from RNAcentral.